UUAGCUUAUAUCUCAGUGGUAGAGAGCCUGAUUGAUAAUCGGGAGACAUAGGUUCGAAUCCUAUUAGGCUAAU
RNAcentral lists this transfer RNA (73 nucleotides) under Chlamydia trachomatis. RNAcentral's name for it is "tRNA-Ile(gat)". It matches the Rfam family "tRNA". From Rfam's summary of the family: Transfer RNA (tRNA) molecules are approximately 80 nucleotides in length. Their secondary structure includes four short double-helical elements and three loops (D, anti-codon, and T loops). Further hydrogen bonds mediate the characteristic L-shaped molecular structure. tRNAs have two regions of fundamental functional importance: the anti-codon, which is responsible for specific mRNA codon recognition, and the 3' end, to which the tRNAs corresponding amino acid is attached (by aminoacyl-tRNA synthetases). tRNAs cope with the degeneracy of the genetic code in two manners: having more than one tRNA (with a specific anti-codon) for a particular amino acid; and 'wobble' base-pairing, i.e. permitting non-standard base-pairing at the 3rd anti-codon position. Lineage: Bacteria; Pseudomonadati; Chlamydiota; Chlamydiia; Chlamydiales; Chlamydiaceae. RNAcentral also lists the same sequence under 1 other name. The record is from RNAcentral.